Leucoraja erinaceus (little skate) is the source of this 1493-nucleotide long non-coding RNA. RefSeq lists it as uncharacterized. The record is from RefSeq and is a predicted model, not a curated record. The transcript has 5 exons. Lineage: Eukaryota; Metazoa; Chordata; Chondrichthyes; Rajiformes; Rajidae.
AUGUCCCCGUUGAAAGCUGUAGCGACGUGUGGGCUUUGGGCAAGCGCCUUUAGACACAGGGAACGUUCGCUCACACAAGCAGCAGCGUGUGAAUCACAGGAGGUUGUGUCUAUCGUGGAUCAGAGAAGGAAUUGCUGAUGCGGGUUUAAACUGAACACUUUGGCCACCGACCACUGGAAGAUUUGAGAGAAAAUGUUCCUUGAGAAAUUGGAUUCAGGAGACAGCCAAACACACAGUCUUCCUGUAACAUCUUUAUCUCGUUAGCAGCUUAAUGGGAUUGCCCUUGUUUGGUUUCACUCCACAUUCUCUGGAAGUAACAGAACCAGCUUCUCUGGAAUCCAUUUCAAACACAAAAUACUAUUGUUGCUGGAAAGAUGGAAUAAAAAGAAUAAAUGCUUCAAACAUUCAGCAGGCCAGGCAGUAUCCAUGUGGAGAGAAACAGUUAAUGUUGCAAGUCUUUCACUUGAACUUCUGAACGUCAGUCUCCAGAUGAGUUUUGGGAUGGGAAGCAGGUUUGACAUUGUUAGACAACAAAAACAAACAAAUGUAAAAAAGAGAAAGCUAUGGGCAAUCGUAUGUGUGCACAAGGAAAAAGUAGCUGCUCUGCAUCAAGAUCAAGUUGCAUAUUGGGUGGAAAUCUCAACAACGCACAAGACAAAUGUCGUCAAGCUGGAAAGGAUGUUGAGAAGAUUUACGAGGAUCUUGCCAGGACUUGAGGGCCUGAGCUACAGGGGGAGUUUGAGCAGGCUGGGCCUCUAUUCCCUGGAAUGCAAGAGGAUGAGAGCCAGAAUGUCAUUAUGCAUAAACGUAUGGUUCAACAUUGAAACUGACCAAGGGUUCAUGAACAUGUGAAAAAAUAUUCAGAUGGAUGAAAAGAUUAAUAUCCACAUCAUUUCACCUCGCUGAGUUGGAUUAAAAUACAGUUUCCAUUAAUCCUGAAAAUUCCUCACUUAUUGAUGACUGAACUCUUUGGCAAAGGUUAAUCAGUAUUAAAGUACUCAAAUAUGGUUAACAAUUGCAAGAACAAUGAAUGAAGCAUUUAGAUGAAUGAAUCCCUCCUAUAGCUGGGCAACCAGAACUGCAAACAAUCUUCCAAGAGUGGUCUCAUAAAUGACGUGCAGAAUAGAAAAUAUUCUCUUGUGAAACAAAAGUGGUUACUUAUAUAAAACUGAAUUUCGCACAAAAAAAACGUAUGCUAUCCUUUUCUUACUUUGGUAAAAAUCAUGAAAAUACAUUCUAUUCCUAGUCAUUAGCCUCAAAAUUCAAAUGGUAAAUUGUUCAUCUUACGCAGUUUGCAUUUGUUUUUCCAAAAUGUUUUUGUGCCUUCUACCACAGUGAUGAAUGCUGUGGUGGAUGUUUAUGUUACAUGUUGUGUCCUGUUUAUGCAUUUUAUUAUUUUGUUAACCCAUCUUUAUGCCUUGUAUGGAACUGAUUUUUAAAUUGUGUAAAGCACUUUGGGGUCAAUGAAAAUUGACUAUAAAUGUGCUAUAUAA